AUUUCACCACACUAUGUGUAUUACCUGGACUUCUGGGACAUGAGUGUAGCAUCAGAAAACAACGACGUUCAUCCCAACAUGACACUAGUAGGUCAGAUGUGGCAGACGCUACUUGGGUACAUAUGUCCGAACUGAUCUCUUAGACCCUCGAAUCCACACCUUUCAUCUGGUGUCAUGGCUUUGGUGGUUUGGUCAGGCGGUGAGGUGGCCGAGUGGUUAAAGCGUUCCCUCCCACGCCCAGGUCACAUUCUAUGUUUAGGUACGUUGUCUGAAGCUCAUCUCUGGUGUCCCUGACAUGGUAUUGUCUAAUACCAGUGAAAACGGCGGUACUUAUAAAACGGCGGUACUUAUAAAACGCGUACCUGGCUUCAGACUUGGCGCCCAAGACACCCGAGAUGUGAGGAGUACUAUUGUUGAUCUUUGUUGUAAAACAAUAGUGUUAGAUGAUAGUUAUUUCUUCUUACUCAGUGCAGUGUUAUACAGAUAAUAUUUCUUCCCUUU
This is a long non-coding RNA of Haliotis rubra (blacklip abalone), 501 nucleotides long. RefSeq lists it as uncharacterized. The record is from RefSeq and is a predicted model, not a curated record. The transcript has 3 exons. NCBI's taxonomy places the organism in Eukaryota, Metazoa, Mollusca, Gastropoda, Lepetellida, Haliotidae.